RNAcentral lists this long non-coding RNA (199 nucleotides) under Trifolium pratense (red clover). RNAcentral's name for it is "long non-coding RNA (TPRA_LNC008092)". The record is from RNAcentral. Lineage: Eukaryota; Viridiplantae; Streptophyta; Magnoliopsida; Fabales; Fabaceae.
AUGAAUAAUGUACACUUUCAGAUCGGUGAUAUUAAGAAGGCUUUAUCUAAAUUUUCCCGUGACAGACGAAAGAGGAUUAUAUCGCUUAAAAGACAAAACAAAAUAUAUCUUAACACAAGUUCACAAGUUUCAACCGCUAUACCAUUAACAGAUAUUUCAAAUGGUAAUCUAUUCUUUAUAUCAUGUAUGUUGGUAUUUU